GUGCUGUUCCUCCUGCCCCCAAGAAGGGGCGGCAAACGCUGCACAGUGAAAUGAAAUCCAAAGCCCCCACCCCCGGCCCCUGGGAUAAACCACUAAGGGCCUUGCUGGGCAAACACAAUUAGCAUUGAGCAAAGUACACAGACGUCUUCCACCGCUAUCAGUAUUGUUGAUCUCUGAAGACACGAGCUUGUUUCUGAAGACAGCAUCUUCAGCUGGUCAGUGGGAUUGCCUUCUGACAGUGUCGCCAGACUUGCAGUUCAGAGGUGGUGACAGAAAUGACUCUCGGUGGCCCCAUCUCUCAGAUGCAGGAGGAUUCUUCGAGAAGGUGCUGGUGCCUUCAGUCUUCAAGGAGCUGGCCUCAGAGUUGCAGCAAGCAGGCUCCUUUAAGACAGAUCUGUGCUCCUAAUUAUGUGCUGCUGAAGAGGCUGCUCAUGACUCAACGUGGGACAGGACUGUUUGUACGUCUUCUGGGCAAAGUGCUCAUUUUCAGCUUGCGUUUAUUGGCACUGUUCAGCUUAGGUGAGAUUGCUGUGGGAAGUAGCUCUCUUAAUAAAUCAUCUUUGAGUUUAUUUAGUCAGUAACACAAUCUAGCCCUUGUCAAAUACAUUAACUGCUAUUUAUCUAGGAGGAAUCCCGAGGAGGGCUGAGUCACUUCUCAGAUUGCUCAACUAUGAAGGGCUAACACGGAAACAGGUUCUUCUGCAGUUUUAUGUUUCCUCUUAAAUCCUGGCUGAUGUUCCCUGUUUUUGUAUACUGUGGGAAGUUUUCUUCCAGCUGGUAAUGAGCUAUCAGGGAGGCUCAACCCGCAGGCCCCGUAAGCCCCAGGAAUUUACACAACGUUGGAGGAAUUUUCCCCGUGAGGGCCUGCAGCUGGGCGUUCCUGCGACACUGCUCUGCUUUGCGUGGCCCGGUGGAGCAUCUCUCUGAGGCGCUUGGGCCCUGGAGGGCGACCUGCAGUGCUCUUCCGUUUCUAAGAGCUGGCUCCCUGAAUUUCUCUGAUUCAAGAUACGAUUGCCUUUUGGGCCAGGUCAUCAACUGGGCACAUUUUGGGACUUCUCAGAACUCAGUCACAACUGGCUACCAUCCAGUCUUGUUUUCUUUCCUGGGAUCCCUGGAUCAGGAAGAUCCCCUGGAGCAGGAAAUGGCAAGUCACUGCAGUGUUCCUGCCUGGAGAAUCCCAGGGACUGAGGGGCCUG
Molecule: long non-coding RNA, 1196 nt
Filed under: Bos indicus x Bos taurus (hybrid cattle)
Lineage: Eukaryota; Metazoa; Chordata; Mammalia; Artiodactyla; Bovidae
Description: lncRNA (ENSBIXG00000012447.1)
Source: RNAcentral